Molecule: long non-coding RNA, 744 nt
Organism: Oreochromis niloticus (Nile tilapia)
Lineage: Eukaryota; Metazoa; Chordata; Actinopteri; Cichliformes; Cichlidae
Exons: 3
Source: RefSeq, a predicted model, not a curated record
AAAAAAAUGUCAGGUCUCAGUCUCAGACAAAAAAAUGUCAGGUCUCAGUUCUCAGGAAAAAAGUCGUCAGGUAUCAGACAAAAAAAUGUCAGGUCUCAGUUCUCACGAAGAAAGUCGUCAGGUAUCAGGCAAGAAAAUGUCAGGUCUCAGUUCUCAGGAAAAAAUGUCAGGUCUCAGUCUCAAACAAAAAAAUGUCAGGUCUCAGUUCUCAGGAAAAAAGUCGUCAGGUAUCAGACAAAAAAAUGUCAGGUCUCAGUUCUCAGGAAAAAAUGUCAGGUCUCAGUCUCAGACAAAAAUAAUGUCAGGUCUCAGUUCUCAGGAAAAAAGUCGUCAGGUAUCAGGCAAAAAAAUGUCAGGUCUCAGUCUCAGACAAAAAAAUGUCAGGUCUCAGUUCUCAGGAAAAAAGUCGUCAGGUAUCAGAACACAAGGUAUCAGACAGAGAGAAAAUCUUCCUGCAGGUGGCGCUGUUGUCACGUCCCACCCAAUGACUGUAGUGACAGCUGCAGUCACGGAGAAACUUGCGUAUCUCUGUUCGGGAAAAGCAGAUAGAGUGUAGGCUCUGAGAGGAGGGCCAGCGUUUACGCUACGAAAACACGACCAAGUGUUUUAACCUAACAGCCUGAGGUGUUCUUCAGGAAACUGGACUACCUGACAGAAGGACCCAAGGCCCCGCUGCACUUUUUCGGGGCUGCCCUCAGAUUCAGACCUCAGCCGCAUCGAGUGACAGCAGACAGAUCAUCCAAC